Molecule: ribosomal RNA, 404 nt
Filed under: uncultured bacterium
Lineage: Bacteria
Description: bacterial SSU rRNA
Rfam family: Bacterial small subunit ribosomal RNA
Source: RNAcentral
CGAGGAAUCUCGGGCAAUGGGCGAAAGCCUGACCCAGCGACGCCGCGUGGAGGACGAAGGCCUUAGGGUUGUAAACUCCUUUUGCCGGGGAAGAAUACUGACGGUACCCGGCGAAUAAGCCACGGCUAACUACGUGCCAGCAGCCGCGGUAAUACGUAGGUGGCAAGCGUUGUCCGGAUUUACUGGGCGUAAAGCGCGCGUAGGUGGUCUGCUAAGUUCAGGGUGAAAUCUCCCGGCUCAACCGGGAGGGGUCUUUGAAUACUGGUGGACUUGAGGGCAGCAGAGGUAGGUGGAAUUCCCGGUGUAGUGGUGAAAUGCGUAGAUAUCGGGAGGAACACCAGUGGCGAAGGCGGCCUACUGGGCUGUACCUGACACUGAGGCGCGAAAGCGUGGGGAGCGAACCG